AUCUCUCUAGUACAAAUUAGUAUUGAUGACUUCCAAUCACCCGGACUUGGUUAAAAUCCAAGGAGAGAUA
Molecule: transfer RNA, 70 nt
Filed under: Petroscirtes breviceps (striped poison-fang blenny mimic)
Lineage: Eukaryota; Metazoa; Chordata; Actinopteri; Blenniiformes; Blenniidae
Description: tRNA-Gly
Source: RNAcentral